This 987-nucleotide ribosomal RNA is filed under the name Leuconostoc lactis. RNAcentral's name for it is "bacterial SSU rRNA". It matches the Rfam family "Bacterial small subunit ribosomal RNA", at positions 49 to 1018 of the family's 1533-position model. The record is from RNAcentral. Lineage: Bacteria; Bacillati; Bacillota; Bacilli; Lactobacillales; Lactobacillaceae.
CUAUACAUGCAGUCGAACGCGCAGCGAAAGGUGCUUGCACCUUUCAAGCGAGUGGCGAACGGGUGAGUAACACGUGGAUAACCUGCCUCAAGGCUGGGGAUAACAUUUGGAAACAGAUGCUAAUACCGAAUAAAACUUAGUAUCGCAUGAUACAAAGUUGAAAGGCGCUACGGCGUCACCUAGAGAUGGGUCCGCGGUGCAUUAGUUAGUUGGUGGGGUAAAGGCCUACCAAGACAAUGAUGCAUAGCCGAGUUGAGAGACUGAUCGGCCACAUUGGGACUGAGACACGGCCCAAACUCCUACGGGAGGCUGCAGUAGGGAAUCUUCCACAAUGGGCGAAAGCCUGAUGGAGCAACGCCGCGUGUGUGAUGAAGGCUUUAGGGUCGUAAAGCACUGUUGUAUGGGAAGAAAUGCUAGAAUAGGGAAUGAUUCUAGUUCGACGGUACCAUACCAGAAAGGGACGGCUAAAUACGUGCCAGCAGCCGCGGUAAUACGUAUGUCCCGAGCGUUAUCCGGAUUUAUUGGGCGUAAAGCGAGCGCAGACGGUUGAUUAAGUCUGAUGUGAAAGCCCGGAGCUCAACUCCGGAAUGGCAUUGGAAACUGGUUAACUUGAGUGUUGUAGAGGUAAGUGGAACUCCAUGUGUAGCGGUGGAAUGCGUAGAUAUAUGGAAGAACACCAGUGGCGAAGGCGGCUUACUGGACAACAACUGACGUUGAGGCUCGAAAGUGUGGGUAGCAAACAGGAUUAGAUACCCUGGUAGUCCACACCGUAAACGAUGAAUACUAGGUGUUAGGAGGUUUCCGCCUCUUAGUGCCGAAGCUAACGCAUUAAGUAUUCCGCCUGGGGAGUACGACCGCAAGGUUGAAACUCAAAGGAAUUGACGGGGACCCGCACAAGCGGUGGAGCAUGUGGUUUAAUUCGAAGCAACGCGAAGAACCUUACCAGGUCUUGACAUCCUUUGAAGCUUCUAGAGAUAGAAGUGUUCU